UAAGGAGAAAUUAUAUGCAAUUAAGCUAAAUUCAAGAACUAAUAGUGAACACUUGUAGUAUAUAUUAAUGAAUGUUUGGAGUUGUCUGUUAACUCCUUUAUUGCUAAUACCUGCUAGAACACUGCUGUGUCGAGCUGUGUUUAAUUUGCAUGCUGAAGCAUGAUGCAGCAUGGUAGAGGUUAAUGAAAUACACUGGCAUAAAAUCUUCACUGUGUGUUUUCACUGUGUGCAGUCAUUCUCAGAAGGAGUGGAAGCUGACAAAUCAUUCCUUCUAGUUUCACUUUCUGGCAAACGUAUGAAACCUCGAAAAUUUAUUUUGGCUAUCUAGAAAAGCAGAGUAAACCAACCACAUUUAUUUUGUUCGUAUCUGAUGUCACAUCUGAAUGCAGGUCUCCAGAGGUGAUAUAUUAAUGUCCUAAAGCAUUGCACCAUCUGGUUCCUCUUUUGAUGCGCAACAUUUUGAAUGCUUGGUUUAAUCUCCCUGGAUUUCAGUAAAUUAUGUAAACUUGGAGGCUUGGCAGCGGGAGAUGGGCACCACGAGGAGAUGAUUCAGUCAUCAAUAUCUAUUGGGCUUCCUUAUUGCUGCCAUUACACUUCUUUCAGUUCUACUUAUAAAUUUUGCAAAAUCAGAGCACCUUGGAAUAGAUGCGAGUACAAGACUUUGCACUGCCUAAAACUGCCUUGGAAAACCAUGGCUGCUGCCCCUCAUCUCAACUCGGAUGCACUCCGAGAGGUCCUGGAGUGCCCCAUUUGCAUGGAGUCCUUCACUGAGGAGCACCUGAGACCCAAGCUCUUACACUGCGGGCACACCAUCUGCAAACAAUGCUUAGAGAAACUCCUAGCAAACAGCAUUAACGGGAUACGGUGCCCCUUUUGCAGCAAAAUCACGCGGAUCACAAGCUUAGCUCAGCUGACUGACAAUCUUACUGUGCUGAAGAUCAUAGACACCGCUGGACUGGGGGAAGUGGUGGGUCUUCUCAUGUGCAAGGUCUGUGGGAGAAGGUUGCCAAGACACUUUUGCAAGAGCUGUAGCUUGGUUUUAUGUGAGCCAUGCAAGGAGACAUCACACAUGCCCCAAGGACAUAGAGUCAUUGCUAUCAAAGAGGCUGCUGAAGAGCGUAGGAGAGAAUUUGGGACGAGGCUUGCCAGACUUCGGGAGCUUAUGGGUGAUCUGCAGAAAAGAAAAGCAUCUCUGGAGGGUGUUUCUAGAGACCUGCAAUCUAGAUACAAAGCAGUUCUGCAGGAUUACAGCAAAGAAGAGCGCAAGAUCCAGGAAGAACUGGCCAGGUCACGCAAGUUUUUCACCACCUCUUUGUCUGAAGUGGAGAAGGUAAAUAAUCAGGUAAUGGAGGAGCAAGCUUAUCUGCUGAACUUAGCGGAAGUGCAGAUAAUGUCUCGCUGUGACUAUUUCCUUGCCAAAAUAAAGCUGGGAGAUAUAGCUCUCUUGGAAGAGGCAGCAGACGAGGAAGAACCAGAACUGACAAACAGUCUCCCAAGGGAGCUGACUCUUCAAGAGGUUGAACUCCUUAAGGUGAGCCAUGUGGGACCACUGCAGAUUGGGCAAGUGGUGAAGAAACCCCGGACCGUUAACAUGGAGGAAUCGCUCAUGGAAUCUGCAGCAUCCUCAUCAGCAUCAUUUAGGGAGCCCGACUUGGUGCAAGAAGAGGCCAGCUGCACACCGAAUUCCUCACCAGCCAAGCCAAGGAUGCCUGAAGCAGCCACGAGCAUCCAGCAGUGUCACUUCAUCAAGAAGAUGGGCUCCAAGGGCAGCCUGCCAGGGAUGUUUAAUCUCCCUGUCAGCCUACAUGUCACCCUGCAAGGUGAGGUGCUUGUGGCAGACCGAGGCAAUUUCCGAAUCCAGGUUUUUACCCGCAAGGGCUUUCUGAAGGAGAUUCGCCGGAGCCCCAGCGGAAUUGAUAGUUUUGUAUUGAGUUUCCUUGGAGCAGACUUGCCCAAUUUGACUCCCCUUUCUGUCACCAUGAACUGCCAUGGCCUGAUAGGUGUGACUGACAGCUACGAUAACUCUGUCAAGGUCUACACCAUGGAUGGCCAUUGCGUGGCGUGUCACCGGAGCCAGCUAAGCAAACCCUGGGGCAUCGCUGCCCUGCCUUCUGGGCAGUUUGUAGUGACUGACGUGGAAGGAGGGAAACUCUGGUGUUUCACAGUGGACCGUGGCGUGGGGGUAGUGAAGUACAGUUGCUUAUGUAGCGCAGUGCGCCCAAAGUUCGUCACCUGCGAUGCUGAAGGGACCAUAUACUUUACUCAAGGGCUGGGGCUUAACCUGGAAAACCGGCAGUACGAACACCAUUUAGAAGGCGGCUUUUCAAUUGGCUCCGUUGGCCCAGAUGGGCAGCUGGGACGCCAGAUUAGCCACUUCUUCUCCGAGAAUGAGGAUUUCAGGUGCAUUGCUGGGAUGUGUGUCGAUGCCAGGGGAGACCUCAUUGUUGCUGACAGCAGCCGUAAAGAAAUCCUGCAUUUUCCUAAAGGAGGUGGCUAUAAUAUCUUAAUCCGGGAAGGACUCACCUGUCCUGUCGGUAUCGCCAUUACUCCCAAAGGGCAGCUGCUGGUGCUGGACUGUUGGGAUCACUGCAUUAAGAUCUACAGUUACCAUCUGAGAAGAUACUCCACCCCUUAAAGGCACAUCUCUAGGUAAAGCCCCUUUUGGCAGCAGAGAUCCGUCCAGCCUCAUUGCAGUCUGAUGGGAACCGCUGUGAAGCGUUCAGGGAGAUUGUGCCAUAACUGAAGGGGGUUUGGCACAGAAGGCCGUCAUGUUUUGUGUUUAGAAACAAAAUAGCUUACAUGGUGGUGGUCUGCUUUUUCUUCUUCUUUAUAUAAAAUCCAUACAAUAAAAAAAAGAACAAGUGUGAGGGAAAGGAUCCAUCCUUCUGGAGUAUUGGUUCCUUGAUAAAUGACUGGUCACUCCAUAAACCUUUUCACCUCCUUUCGCCACAUCUCCUACAUUUCCAGCUUCAACCAUUGUAUCUUUCUUUGUGCCAUAAACACUGACUGACUGCUCUAAAUCACCUUCCCUUAGAGGACUAGAGAGGCAAUCCUCUUCUCACUGUGGUACUCACAAGGAACUGGGUAGCAGUUGUCUGGGCAACUACUGGAGAAAGCAGUUUCUGAUUGCAGCACUGCAUAAAAUGAAAUAGCCCUCUUAAACUGCGUGGAGAUGGAACCUUACUUUCAAACUGAAGAGGGAGGGUUUUCUUCGUUUUUCUGGUAUUCAGGAGAUCGCCCCUGUCGUGCCAUUUGUGAACCGUGUCUGUUCAAUGUGAACAAAACACCACAUUCCUCAGAUUUUUUUUUACGGCACCAGCAGGCACCAGAGUUCAUGUUCAUCACGGCUUUGGGCCAAAUGAAGCACAAAACUGCAGCUGUGUGAACCAAGGCCCCCACAGUGCUACUCUCCUGGCUGAUAAAUGUGUACCUCAGUGUGGUGCUGCUUGCCUAGAAUAUUUUAUUGAAGGAAAGAUGCAUUUAAAUAGGGCACAGUGGUAGCAUGUUAAUCUGCCACAGAUAAUAGUUAUACUGCAGUGCAUUUAUUUGUUGCUAUCAACAACGUAGUUGCAAAUUUGGGGGCACGACAGACAAUAUAAAAGCUGAUUUUAUGGUGGCUGCCGUGCUACAGCAAAUUGUUUGCUACUUGUGCUACAACACGUAUGCAACAGGUGAUGGGUUUUUUUCAGUUCCCAUAUACUUUCCCCUCGCGAAACAGCGGAGUAAAAUAGGCUUCAGAGCUGCUGCUGCUCCAGCCAGUUGUUUGGCAGUUACAGGGUUUGCAGAAGAAGCGCUGGGAGCAGAUUUUGGUGGGAUUUUGGGUUUUUUUUCUCUCCCUAUUCUGCUCAUCCAAAGCACUGAAGAGGGCCAGCACAACAAACACCCAGCUGUGUGAUGGAGGUGCCCCUCCAUCAGGGCAACUUCCUAUUUCUUUUGCUAUAAUUUGCUGGAAAAAAGCUUGCGGAGAAGGCAGCGGGAACUAACGACACUAGCAUGGUAGAUGGUGCUGAGGGAGCCCAAGGGGACUGAACCCCCUUUCCCUCCUGAGCUGCUCUGUGUGUUUGCCAAGACUACCAGCCUGCACGUAAUUAUUUAUGUUCUCUGCUUCUCUUUUGGGCGUGGGAGGGGGUAGUCGCCUAAAGUAUGUAACAGCAAUUUGGGGAGCCAAUCUCAUCUUGCAUGUAUGUUUUUGGGAGAUGAUGACUAUUACUGGGCCCUUCUGCAGUUAAUUACAUUGUAACUCAAGGCAUUUUUUCCAGUAUUAUGGUAAUGGCAGUUCCUCUCCUACUGAUCUCUUUUAAACAUUUUUCCUGUUUCUAAGAACUGCUCCAAGCAGGAAGCUACUGUGGACCUGAAUAAUUGAAGCAAUAUUAUCUAUGAUAAUAUGUACCUCUGUCAUUUUCUGUUCCAAUGGAUUUAUUUUUUUUGCAAUAAACAUCACACUACUAGCAAUAACAUUUCCUGGAGUGCUUGAAGGGAUGUAAAAGCUGGUCCAGUAAACUGAGCAGUUGGUUACCCCAGCCUGUUCCUGGUUACACAGUUCAAACAAAGCGUCUGUCAUCUGUUUCUCACUCAGAGAUUCAAGAAAAAUAACAGUGCCCUGCGAUGCACUGGUGGGCCAGGACACUGCGAUCGGCGCCUGGGGGUGUGUGUCGCCUGCAGCUCUUCUUCUAGUCUUGGGUUUCAGGCAAAAAAGGGAAAGAGAAAACCUGCUGUCCCGCGCCCAGGGUACGCAUGUCCCCUGACAAAACUUUACAGUGACUGCGAGAUGAUUUUGCAGAGCUGUAUUUCUUGCCGUGGUGCCCCCACACAGUGUUGUGAUCAUCUGCCAAACGAGAUGAAAUGGAGUAAUUAAGGAUU
Molecule: RNA transcript, 4860 nt
Organism: Haliaeetus leucocephalus (bald eagle)
Lineage: Eukaryota; Metazoa; Chordata; Aves; Accipitriformes; Accipitridae
Gene: TRIM32
Gene name: tripartite motif containing 32
Exons: 3
Source: RefSeq, a predicted model, not a curated record